This 424-nucleotide ribosomal RNA is filed under the name Verrucomicrobiota bacterium. RNAcentral's name for it is "Verrucomicrobia bacterium partial 16S ribosomal RNA". It matches the Rfam family "Bacterial small subunit ribosomal RNA", at positions 355 to 776 of the family's 1533-position model. Lineage: Bacteria; Pseudomonadati; Verrucomicrobiota. The record is from RNAcentral.
UGAGGAAUAUUGGUCAAUGGACGCAAGUCUGAACCAGCCAAGUAGCGUGCAGGAUGGCGGCCCUAUGGGUUGUAAACUGCUUUUAGAUGGGGAUAAAGUGGGGAACGUGUUCCCUUUUGCAGGUACCAUAUGAAUAAGGACCGGCUAAUUCCGUGCCAGCAGCCGCGGUAAUACGGAAGGUUCGGGCGUUAUCCGGAUUUAUUGGGUUUAAAGGGAGCGUAGGCCGUAGAUUAAGUGUGUUGUGAAAUGUAGACGCUCAACGUCUGACUUGCAGCGCAUACUGGUUUACUUGAGUUUGCACAACGUUGGCGGAAUUCGUCGUGUAGCGGUGAAAUGCUUAGAUAUGACGAAGAACUCCGAUUGCGAAGGCAGCUUGCGGGAGCAAAACUGACGCUGAAGCUCGAAAGUGCGGGUAUCGAACAGG